Amphiprion ocellaris (clown anemonefish) is the source of this 5705-nucleotide RNA transcript. It is a transcript of the gene named AP-1 complex subunit sigma-3-like, with no coding region annotated. The transcript has 6 exons. The record is from RefSeq and is a predicted model, not a curated record. NCBI's taxonomy places the organism in Eukaryota, Metazoa, Chordata, Actinopteri, Pomacentridae.
ACUCCUCCGGUGGCCAGAAGGGCGGAGUUAACCAACUUCUACACCGACUCCAGUGGCUCGGAGGGUAGAUAUGUGUUUUACAGGACCGUCUGACCCCUUGUGAGGGUUAAAUUCAUAUUUUCUAAUCUUCUGAUAGCGUUUGAGGCUCUUGGGUCAAAAAUGAUGCGCUUCCUGCUGCUCUUCAGUCGCCAGGGGAAGCUGCGUCUGCAGAAAUGGUUUACGCCCAUUCCAGAACGUGAGAAGAAGAAGAUCAUAAGAGAGAUGACCACCAUGGUGUUAGCCCGACAACCACGCUCCUGCAACUUCCUGCACUGGAAAGACCUGAAGAUCAUUUACAAGAGGUAUGCAAGCUUAUACUUCUGCUUGGCCAUAGAGAACCAUGAGAAUGAGCUGUUAGCCCUGGAGGUUAUCCAUCGAUACGUGGAGCUGCUGGACAAAUACUUUGGCAAUGUGUGUGAGCUGGACAUAAUCUUUAACUUUGAGAAGGCCUAUUUUAUCCUGGAUGAGUUUCUAUUGGGAGGAGAGAUACAAGAAACCUCUAAACAGAUUGUGAAUCGCUGCAUCGAAUCCUCGGACAUGUUACAGGAGAGAGAAGAUCCAGCAGUGUUUGGAUGUGAGAUAAAUACAGAGGGCAGACGGAGGUGAGAAGUCUUCUUUGACAACUCAGGAGCACCACAAUGAAAGUGAAAUGGCUAGAUGGAGAUUAUUUGUUAACACUGACAGUUAAUUUCAAAUGUCUGCUGUCUGCAAAAAUACACAGUAAAGGUAAAUUAAACAGCUUGACAAAUACAUAAAGUACAUAUAUACACAUGCAGUACAGCAGUUUUAAAGCACUUUGUGAUGCUAUAAUUUGCAGUAGUUAAUAUGUUUAAUGGACUACUUUUAGCGAGUAGAUUAUGUUGAUUGUGAAGUUUUGCUUGUGGUCUGAUGCUUAGCCAUUUGUUUUUUAAGUGCCAACCUUUUGUUUUGUCACAUUUGGAAAAUCAGAUGUUGCUAUUAACACUGACAAUGGCUCUGUUGUAUUGAAGUCUCUUGCAAAACAAACAGUGUGACAGGGACACAGAUAUUCUAAUAUCAUAUGACUACAGUCGGCACACAAAGUUCACUGUGAUAUUGUUUUCCAUGUUCACAAUGUUGACUGAAAUACCUCAAAUGACCUCAAACGCCCCCUGGAAAAAGAAAUCCCUUUUAAUAUUAUCACAGGCUAAAUUAUGGUUCAUGCUUUUUUUGAUGUAACAAGAGUGAAUGUUAACAGCAGACUACUGUAAAAAAAAAAAAAAAUAAUAAUAAUGGCGUGAACUGAACAAAAGAAAAUCACCACUACAACUUGCUUUAGGCAGCUAAGCACAGCUGUUAUUGAUAACUUUACAUUGAUGCUGUUUGGCCUUAACAUACACUACCGUUCAAAAGUUUGGGUCACUUAGAAAUGUCCUUAUUUUUGAAAGAAAACCAUUUUUUUCUCCAAUGAAUAUAACAUUAAAUGAAUCAGAAAUACAGUCUAGACAUUGUUAAUGUGGUAAAUGACUGUUCUAGCUGGAAACGACUGAUUUUUAAUGGAAUAUCUACAUAGCGGUACGGCGGAACAUUUCCAGCAACCAUCACUCCUGUGUUCUAAUGCUACAUUGUGUUAGCUAAUGGUGUUGAAAGGCUAAUUGAUGAUUAGAAAACCCUUGUGCAGUUAUGUUAACACAUGAAUAAAAGUGUGAGUUUUCAUGGAAAACAUGAAAUUGUCUGGGUGACCCCAAACUUUUGAACAGUAGAGUAUAUGUAUAUUCACAUUAAGUGAAAUAGGUUUUGCUUAGUUUCUAAGGUUUAAUUUAACGUACUACAAUUUGUCAUACAUUGCUACUUCUGAAUAAAUGUUCCCAGUCCAUAAAAUAGAAGUUGCCUGAUCCUUUAUUAUUUAUUGUUUUGGGUGUUUUUGUUGUAUAUACAUUUUUAAAUCUUAAAUUUGGUAGAUCUCAACUUUGGAUCAUAAUUAUUAACAACACACAGUUAUUUAUGGUAUAUGUGUGCAAUUCACAGUAGUGUUUGUACAUUUUCAAAGAAGAAAAUGUUUACAGGUAAUUACAGUUAUAUGAUGUUUACAGUGGCAACACAAUAUAAACACAGUAUAUCAUUAGAAAGUUACAGCAUUAAACAGUGAACGUCAUAUUUUACUGUAGAUUCACUGUAUAAUACUGUUAAAAUACAGUAAAAUGUCUGUAACAGCACAGCUGCCAUUAAAAGUACUGUAAUUUCUCUGGAACAUAUAUUACAGUGUGCAGCCAGAGGAUCACAUUAUAUUAGAGGUGAGGGAACUGAAGUUGCUGGCUUCAGUUUCAGCCCGAUACUUCAGCAUGCACGUUAACCAGGUCAGGAUGAGGGAGAACAGCGCCAGGAUGCUCGCUACGAACAGACAGACCGGGCCGACCGGAGACGCGAUGUGGCUGAAGUUAUGUACGAAGAUGAGGCCCAGAAACAGGAGCACCACCAUGGACAGGAAGGAGAAGAUGGCGCACACACAGAAGGUGGUGAAGGCGACCUGUUUGCACGUCUCACAGCCGCUCUCCGGGGUGGCCGCGGCGGACACGGAAGGAGCCGUCUGCUGCUCCGCGUCCACCGGCGGAGGCUCUCUGAGCGGCAGCGCCUCGGUCAGCUCCGUGUUGUCCGGGAGGUUGAGAACCCGAUAAUCCGGUACCGGUGUUCGGUGGCGACACACGGGGCAAGCGACCCUCCAUCCUCGACCCUCCCGAAAGUGCAAAGUGUCGAGACACUCCAGGCAGAAGGUGUGAGAGCAGCCCAGCACUUUGGGCCGGUGGCGCUCCAGGUCGAAGUAGUUGUAGCAUAUUUUACACUCGUACUCGUCGUCGGGCGGAGCAGCGCCACAGUCGUCUCCCGUAGUGUCCGCCUCCGCCAUGUUCCGUCUGAUCAGGCGGCAUAAAAAUGCUUUAUUUCACCUCACAUGUCCGUGAUGAUCAGAUUCCACACAUAUACAAUGGGAGCGUUUCUCCAGGAGAAAACAGCCGGUUGUACAGUGAGCUGGACUCUCUUCCUGCAGGUCCCGGUCACACUCCGCUUCAUCCGGUUCUUGCGUUCACAGACUUGUUGUGUAACCGCCUGGAGCGCAACCCGUGGACAGUCUUCAUCACGACCAUACCUACCAGAACUAACCGUUUAGUCUAUCCAAUCGAUGGACUUGUUCAAAUCGAUUUCCCAAUUUGGUCCCUGUCACCUGGUGGGUUUGUCACAAGCGUGGGUCAUGUGCAUAAGGUGGAUAUAAUGGGACCAUUUGACCGUAUAAUUAGAAUUAAGCGCCUGCAGUGACAGUAAAGUGCACCGGGCUGCGUCCCUGUGGGUUUCAGCACCACAGCAGUGGACAGCGCCGAGCAGAGCGGUCAGCGGUGACACCUUCAGCUGCAGCUCAGCACCGGUGUGGUUCAACUUAAAGCUGCAUAGGCUCAAUACCAAAGACCUUUGUAGUUGUCAAUAUGCAGGUUUUGAUUCCCUGAUUCAUGUACACAUUUACAAAAUUGACUUUUGCUACAGGCUGCAGGUCAAGCAUUUAGAAGUUGUCCUUUCAAUGGAAUUACCGUGGAUAUAUGUAAUAUAAGAUUCAGGUUUAUUGUCAUUGCACAGAGUACAAUGAAAUGCAUUCUUUUUGCAGUUUGUUUAGAAGCUGUGGGUCAGUCAUCCUGCUGCAUCUGUCAGUGACCUUGCUCAAGGGCCCAACAGUGGCAGCUUGGCAGUGCUGGUUUAACCCUCAACCUUCAAAUCUGUGGUCAAACCCCUUUUUUAUUCCACAUGUAAAACUGAAGUCUCUCUCUUCCUAUAGCUUACUGUCAACUGUACAUACAUUCCACUUAUAAGCUCAUUCUGCAUCUACAGAGACUAUUUACCUGUAGCACACAGAUUUUAGAGGUUCUGCUACUUUUUUGUGUGACCGCUUCUGUACAUAUAUUUAUUUAUUUAACCUUUAUUCAGUGAGGGAGUCCUUUGAGAUUAAAAUCAAAGGAAACCUGACCAAGAAGGCACACCUUUACAAUAGUACAAAGAAUUAUGCAAUCAGUCAUGACAAAAGUUCACACAAGACAAAAGUUUAAUUUAGCUUUAGUCAUAUUGUGCAACUUCAUAAGAUAUGUCAUUUCAAAGCAAUUCACACAGUAAUGAAAAGACUUUACACAAUCAGACAAACUCAAAGAGUCCCCUGGAUUCCGUUUGGGCAAAAACUUGACAGUAGUGGGAAGAAAACACUCCUUUUACCAAGUAAAGCUGCCAACAGAAAAAGGCUCAGGAAGGACAGUCAUCUUCCUCGGGUGGUUGGGGAGAGGAUAAAGGGGAGAGAGAAAAGGAUCGUAUAUAGAGAACAGAUAAACAAUGCACAAGCUACCAAACACCCAGGAGGGUGGUAGCUAGUAGCCACAGAUCAGAAAUAUGUAGCUCCACAGCCACAGUUACCUACAGAGAGGACAAAAUCAACUAGGAGAGAGAGAAGACACAAAGUCAAUGACAUGCAAUAGAGACUUUUAAAUGUAUAGAGAGAGAAAGUAGAAGUAGAGGAGUAGAGGAGUAGUAGAGGAGAAGUGUUUAGUGCAUCACGGGAAGUCACUUAGCAGCACAUCAAAAUAACCAAAGGAUUAAUGUACACAAAAUUCAGUUUACUUCAGCUACACAUCGUUUGAUCAGGAUUUUGAACUCUCUCAGCUUAAAGCAUUAGGCUGUAAUGUGUCCGUAAGGUUCUUCAAUGACCAGUGUGGAAAAUAUAAGAAGUUUGUUCCAACAGCUCGAGAUCAAGUUCUUGGCAGCCUGUAUAGCAGCCAUUUAGAUGAACAUGAAUGAACUUGAUGAAGGCCAAGAAACCAGAUAAAGUACACUGUGAUGUGUAUCAGACCAUAAAUUAGAUAUAAAAAGUACAGAACUGUGGAACACAGAGUCAAGACAGCUAGUGGUGUGUCUUAUAUAUAGUGUCACCAUAGUGAAAAACAUUUAAGAACUAAUUAUGUUAAAAACCCCUGACUUGCAUUACUCAUGUUGAGGCAACUCAAUAGGCAUAAUUUUGCCCCUGUUGCCAAGGCAACCUAUGGCACACCUUUAUGUCUAUGCCGUUUAUGUUUAAAAUCUGCAGUCCUUAAAAGUUAAACAGCUUCAAAUCCUGUAACAUCUGCACGUGGCUUUAAAAUGUACGUUGAACGGUUCUUGUGAAAGGAGAAAUAACCUUAAAACAGUCUUCAAUUCACUGCAAGUAAAAAUCCAUCAUGAUAUUUUAAAGAUGAGAAACAUUUUUUUCCCCAAUCAGACAUGUUGAUUGAGUGCUGAUUAAACACCUCUCUGCUACGUGGAAAGAAUGCAGUACUAAAGUUGUUAUUUGAUGGCACAAUAGCUCAUAUUUUCUGAGAGAAGGCUGUAUUACCAUCCCCUCUCUGCGUAUGAAAGCACAAAGAUACCAAUGAUGAAAUCAAAUCAGAUAAAUAUCCCUGUCAAAAGAGACUGGUGAGUUUUGUGGUUUCAAACAGAGAACGUAGUCUAUGAGCUGCAGGAUGUCUCUUUACAUUGAGCUACUAUGUGCCCUCUUGUGGCUGGAUUCAUGGAUGCAUUGUUGCGCAGUGAUAUUCCAUAGUGCUGGUAUGCAGAGUUCUGUAGUGGCAUAUUGUGUCUGUAAGCUACAUGCAGUUAAUUAAAUUGCUCUCCAUGUCUGCAUAUUUCAUAAAUAAAAUAAUUCUUGAGUA